UCCCACAGGGCCUCCAUCCUUAAUACCUGCUGAGACUGUCAUCCAGCACUGGCCCUGACUGAUACUUUUCUGGAUAGACGGAUGGAGACAUGAGGAAACAAGUUUGAUUUGAACAAAGGGACCACAGGCUGCCUGGAGCCUCCUCCUACACUGUGCAGUGUCCUUUGAGAACGAAUUGAUGGUAUUAAGGUUUAUGUACUUGAGUGCAGAUGCUCAGAGGCCAGGCCUGUUGGCAGUUGGGAAAUACUGAACCCACAAGGUGAAAGAGAUAACCAGCUCCCCAAAAGUUGUCAUCUGACCCCCACAGGAGUGCUACAGCACGUGUAUACACCCAGAGAACAAGCCUAUUGGAGAGUCCACACAGCUGUCCAUCUGGGAAUCCUGACUCAGAACUGACUUCCUCAGUGAAGGACUAGGGCAACAGGUCUCUUCAGGGAAGGAAGGCGGACACAGAAAGGGCUGAACCAGCAAGGACAGAGUCAAGCAAAUGACAGCUACUCAGAAACACAACCUCUUCACUCCAGAACCCCACUACAUCCCUGGCUAUGCUGGUUUCUAUCCUCAACUGCGCUACCAGGUGGGAAACACCUAUGGCCGCACUACUGCACAGUUGCUCACAGAUCCCAGUGUACAGAAGAGCCCCUGCUCUGUUCUGUCACCUAUGUCCAAGCCCAAGUUCAUUGAG
Molecule: long non-coding RNA, 685 nt
Filed under: Rattus norvegicus (Norway rat)
Lineage: Eukaryota; Metazoa; Chordata; Mammalia; Rodentia; Muridae
Description: long non-coding RNA NONRATT017866
Source: RNAcentral